This 253-nucleotide ribosomal RNA is filed under the name uncultured bacterium. RNAcentral describes it as "partial 16S ribosomal RNA". It matches the Rfam family "Bacterial small subunit ribosomal RNA", at positions 524 to 776 of the family's 1533-position model. The record is from RNAcentral.
UACGUAGGGUGCGAGCGUUAAUCGGAAUUACUGGGCGUAAAGCGUGCGCAGGCGGUUUUGUAAGCCAGAUGUGAAAUCCCCGGGCUCAACCUGGGAAUGGCAUUUGGGACUGCAAGGCUCGAGUUUGGCAGAGGAGACUGGAAUUCCUGGUGUAGCAGUGAAAUGCGUAGAUAUCAGGAGGAAUACCGAUGGCGAAGGCAGGUCGCUGGAACGGUACUGACGCUGAGGCGCGAAAGCGUGGGGAGCGAACAGG